This 1839-nucleotide long non-coding RNA is filed under the name Mus musculus (house mouse). Its description in RNAcentral is "long non-coding RNA chr13:63577810-63579649". The record is from RNAcentral. Lineage: Eukaryota; Metazoa; Chordata; Mammalia; Rodentia; Muridae.
AGUACACUGUAGCCGUCUUCAGACACUCCAGAAGAGGCAGUCAGAUUUCAUUACGGAUGGUUGUGAGCCACCAUGUGGUUGCUGGGACUUGAACUCCGGACCUUCGGAAGAGCAGUCGGGUGCUCUUACCCGCUGAGCCAUCUCACCAGCCCAGUCCCCAUCUUUGAAAGUACAUUCUGCCAAAUUAAUGAUAGUUAAGACUUCAUGUGCCUGUGAGAGGAAGAAUUCAGCCCACAGCAGAACGUAAAAUGGGGUCUGAAGGACAAGUUCAUUUGGAGGGAAGAGUUGGAACAGACCACAGUUGGGCCCUGCUUGAUAUGCAGUGCUGAAGAACUGGUCCACCAUCUCUCUGAAAACCAUCCAUGCUUCCAUGAAGCUGACCCAUUCCCUAGGAAUGCUGGUUGUUUAAGAAAAUUUAGCCUUUAGCCAUUCAGCAGAGCUUUUUUUUUUUUUAAACUCAGAAAGAAGAACACUCCAAGUCGCUUGCUUGCUUGCUUGCUUGGUUUUUUGAGACAGGGUUUCUCUGUGUAGCCCUGGCUGUCCUGGACCUCACUCUGUAGACCAGGCUGGCCUCGAACUCAGAAAUCUACCUGCCUCUGCCUCCCGAGUGCUGGGAUUAAAGGCUUGUGCCACCAUUGCCCAGCAAACACUCCAAGUCUUGUAAUGAAUCUACCAUCUUUAUUGAUUUCAGUAAGUUCUUUAACUAAGUACUAAGUGGCUUUCAAAGCUGGUUGCUCAUCAAACAAACCACCUGAGGAGUUUAAGAAGAAGAAAAAAAAAGACAAAAAAAAAAACCCAACUAUUCACCAUUGCCCUCCACAUCCUAGGGAUGUAGAGCAGAAUCUCAGACCUGGGCAUAAGCAUUGUUGUUGUUGUUGUUGUUUUAAUUUCCUCUAAAGCAAUUACAUAGGGAAAUGACUAUGGGAGAAGCUAGGUGUGGUAUACACAUUGCUCAUGGUAAAACGAUUACACCUCCGAGUAUGUUUGAGGCUUUUCAUAAAAGAACAGCAGCAUGAAGGUAAGAGGUUCCUUUAGAUGAUUCAGCCAUGCCACGGCCAUACCUGUCAUGCUGUCUGCUACUCUAGACCUGCCAUACUGUACUAAUGUUACUCAGUCAUUGCCACGCUGUACUGAUGUUACUCAGUCAUUGCCACGCUGUACUGAUGUUACUCAGUCAUUGCCACGCUGUACUGAUGUUACUCAGUCAUUGCCACGCUGUACUGAUGUUGCUCAGUCAUUGCCACGCUGUACUGAUGUUGCUCAGUCAUUGCCACGCUGUACUGAUGUUGCUCAGUCAUUGCCACGCUGUACUGAUGUUGCUCAGUCAUUGCCACGCUGUACUGAUGUUGCUCAGUCAUUGCCACGCUGUACUGAUGUUACUCAGUCAUUGCCACGCUGUACUGAUGUUACUCAGUCAUUGCCACGCUGUACUGAUGUUACUCAGUCAUUGAAGGAAAGAUUUAUUUUUUGGUGCUUACCGCCAUGCCUGAUAGCCAGAGCUUGAGUCUAGAAUUCCACAUAGUAUAAGGAGACAGGUGACUCUGGCUUACAGUUCUGUUACCUCUACAUGUGCAUACCCCAACACACACACACAGUAAAUAAAUAAAUAGGUAAGUAGCUUAAAAAACAAAAAAGAAAACACUGGUGGACUUCUGUCAUAUGCAGAGUCUUCUAUUAGAGGCUUGGAAUGUGGGGGCAAUGGAAAAGCUAUCUUUCUUUAAAACCAUAAGAAAUGCCUUUUGUUUUUUUUUCCUUAAGCAGAUUAUCAAAAUUGAGAUCCUGGCUUCUAUCAAUAGGAGCAAGUCAGUAGAAAGGACCGUAAAAACACAAACAGGACAG